This 5303-nucleotide long non-coding RNA is filed under the name Canis lupus familiaris (dog). RNAcentral describes it as "lncRNA (ENSCAFG00845004193.1)". The record is from RNAcentral. Lineage: Eukaryota; Metazoa; Chordata; Mammalia; Carnivora; Canidae.
GUCAGGCUCUGAAGCUAGGCUGCCCAGGAGGCCUGGGAGAAGCUUCUCUGGGCUUCGGGGGCUGGAAUAAGGGUCAAAAGGUGGAGAAGGGGAAAGGAGUGUGUGGGUCCUGUUCUGGUUCCCCAGCAGAGACUGUAAAUGUAGUCUCCCUGGGUCUAACGCUGGGUCUCUGCGAGGCCUCUCUGGCAUUAUCUCUCUAGACAGGUUUCUCUUUCUGAUCCCUUUCUCAGAAUUUAUUUUUGUUCUUCCUUUCCCAACCAGUUUAGAAAGGCUGGGUAUCCCCAGCCUGUUUGCUCUCCCCACCUCAUACAAGCAGCAAUCUAGAUUCUUCUAAUGAGAAUAUUCUCUUUUUUCUUUUCUUUUCAAGUCAGGCUUCUAGGUGUAGAAAUUAAGGCCAAUUGUUAUUAUCUCUUAUAUUUUUUCUGAACUUUCCAAUUUUUCUACAACGAGCACAGUCACAAAAUGGAAGAAGGGGAAGAAAUUUAGAAAAGUAGUGAGUUACACUGAUAUCCAACCAAUUUAGAAGAGGAGAAUCUGGAGAGAUUAUGGAGACCGAAGGAGUAAGUAAAAUGACAGGAGAAAUGGUCAGGAAAGACAUUGGGGUGGGGCAUGUGUAUUAGAGGGGGAGACAUCCUCUUUCCCUCUCCGAGCCCUUUCCUCAAGUUGCUUAGAAAAGAGAGAAGUAGGGAAGAAGAAAAAAGCCGUAAGGGCCACUGCUUCUUGGAAGCGCUGCCUCUGGAAUCGGAGCUAGAUAGCACGCCCCAGCUAGGCGGUUCCCUCCGGUGGGAGGCGCUCGGUUUGCAAGGAGUUAACAGCGUUGCUCGUGAACUUGGCCUGUCUGUCUGGCUCGUGAUGGAUGGUGAGACUCGCUGACAAGUUCAGCCGGAGGGACCUCCCCUGCUGUGGAGGCGGGAGAAACACGUAGGCGGAGGGGACCCUGGGCGAGCGGCCGGGACGCGCGGGUAAGACUGUGGUUUGGCGAGGGAGGGCGACCGACAAGGCGCCUUGACCACUCGCCUCCUCCCCUGGAGCCUGCCUCUACCAUCCUGAAGCACCAAAGUUUCCCGGAGCUUCGCGCAGUAUGGGGCAGGCAUGAACACUUCUCAAGGUCAGGUAAUACGGCUGGGUUGUGGGAUGAGGACAGUGAUGAUACCCAGAAUAUUUUACCAUGGGCGCCAGCCAGUCGGAAUGACAGCUGGCCCAAAUCGCCAGCCCAGGGAGGAGGGCACAGCUGGCCUGGAGUAAGUGCAUUUGUCUUUGUGUCUUUCUCUCUGCCCCAUCACGUGUGUGUUCAUCAGCAAGCAUGCAGACUUCCCUCGAGGGCAGUUCCUGACAAGGUUGUAGGAUGGGGGAUCCUGGGGUCUCCUUUGCAUUCGGAGCAAGUUAGGUGUGCCUGGCAUGGGGACACCAUGCCCCACCUGGCAGAGGCCCCAGCAACAAAGGGGAGUGAGCUGAGGUCCUUCCCAGCUGCAGGCCCUGCCCUGGUUGUCAGCUCUUCACCAGGCUCUGGGGGAACCAGCUUGUGGUGGCUCUCACCCUCCUUACAUCCCUUGAAGCUGCUGCUCCUUCCUGUCUCUCCCUCUCAGAAGCAUCAUGGGUCAGGAUUAGGGCCUGUCUGCAUCCUGAUCCACUUCCCCACACCUGUUUCAUCAUUAGCCAGGGAGGUUCAUGGCUGCUGCCAUCUGGCUGUGGAGCGCUGGGAAUGUGGUAGUGGUGAUAGUGCUGCAGAGCAGUGUUCUCUCAUUCAUGAAGGCUUCUGGCCUCAAGGCUUCCUGAAGCCACCCCUGACCUAUGGUGUGCUGUGCCAACAGUAGCUCCUUUUACCUGGUCCUUCUUUUUGCCUUAUAGAGUGAAAUCCUUGCCCAAAGUGACCCAAGGUGGCCUGGUAGAGUAACGAGGGCAUAGGAAGACACAGCCAUACUCACCUGGAAGUCAGAGACUUGGCCUCCAGCCCAUCUUCCUGGUGAAUAGCCUUCGGUGAGCCAGCUCCCGUUCUGCACCAGGAAAAGGAGCAUUGGAUAGAAUGGCUUCAAAGGUGCCUUGCCUUUUAGCUGUGACAUUUUUAAAUUUUAUUUUAUUUAUUUGAGAGAGAGUGAGAGCAAGAGAGAUCACAAAGAGGGAGAAGCAGAUUCUCCACCUAGCAAGGAACCUGACGUGAGGCUUGAACCCGGGACUCUGAGAUUGCAACCUGAGCCCAAGGCACAUGCUUAACCCACUGAGCCACCCAGGCACCCCUAGCUGUGAUGGUUUAUAAUCUGGAAGUUCUUCCUGCCUUUUUUCUCCUGUUACUCACCAGUGGCCCAUACUCCCAGCCCCCUUGUUCACAGGAAGCCCACCCCAUUUGGUUCCCUUCGAGUUGCCCUGAGAUGCAGGGACAUACCUUCAACCCAGAGGCUACAGAAAUGAAAACCCAGCUCAGUGUGGGCAAGCGACAUGAAGCUGGGAGUGACCUGCCCUGGAGCAAGACUUGGGCCUGAGAGUGCAUCUUAGCUGAGAUUGCUCCCAGCCUCUGAUCUGGAGCCUUUUCUUCUGUUUCUCUUUUCUCUGACAAGUGUUUGCCCUGGUGGUUCUGUUUGCCACUGGCUGGCCCUCAGGGUGGCUUUGCAGUGUUCUCCUUGGGGCUUGCCCCAUCCUACUUCCCUUUGCCAAGGCCUUUAAACUCGGAAGCUCUAAGCCCCCAGAAGCUGUGCAUGAGGGAAGAGCUGCUUCUCCGUGGCCCACCCUUCUCCCUGGCACCCCCCCAGGCAGGUGGCUCUGCCAUGAUGUGGGCCAUGGAGUCAGGUGAAUGUGGGCCCAAGGCCUUUUAUGGCCAGUGUGACCUUGGGCCAGCCCUUUACCUCACUGAGCCUGUUUCCUUAUUUUUAAAAUGAGAACAACCACACCUUUUUCAUCAAGUUGCAGUGAGGCCUAGAAAGAAUACAAGUAAAACACCUUGAAAUUAUAUGGUCACUCUUUUACCACCUAGUAGCAGCUGGAGCCAGGAGUUCCAGAGGCCAUAGACAGAAACCCUUGUCCUUCUUGACCUCUUGCCUUGGAGUUUCAGGCCUGCUGUGCUGGAGAGGUUCUGGAAAAACCUUGGGGGAGUUCCUCCCCCCAUCCCCAGGGAGCAGAAAUACCUACUUUCAGCCCUAAUAAUACCUGAAUGAGAUUUAUAGGACACCUUCCUCCCCAGAGGGUAAAGCUCCUUCUCACAUAUUAUUCUCUUAUCUUUAGAUUGUCCUGUGAAGUGUGAUGGGACAACCUCUUUUCAGCUUCUCUGAAGAUGGAGACCGAGAGGAAUGGUGGGUCUUGCCAAGGUCACAGGACUGGAAUUCACAGCCACGCCACUCCAGGACCCUGGAGGUCAUCAGCAGGGGAAAGGGGAAAAGCCAAGCAGAAAGGGAAGAUGUCAUCUGAAGCCAGCGUCUUGAGGCUGCGACAGUCGGGCCCGGAUAGAGGAGGCGGCUAUGGGCAGAGGUGCAAGCUCCGCUUCCAUCCCUGCCCAUCUGGGACUUGGCAAAGGACCUGGGAAGACAUGCCCCGACCACCAUGCGGGGGGGGGGGGGGGGGGGGGGGGCUUGGCCUUUGGCCUGUGGGCUACCAUUUCUGCCCUUGUCACACUGUGUGCCUCUUCCAGGUUUGAGGUACUCUGACCAGGCUUCCAGCAAACUGGAGCUCUCAGUCAUCUGUAUUUCUGACCCAGAGGAGUGAGGGCAGCACACUGGGAGGUUGCUAAAGCAAGGGGCUCCAGCCUUCUAGGAGUUAACGACUCCCUCUCCCCAGCUGUCCUCCACUUGGUGCUCCUCUUCCUCCCUCCUCCUGCUCACAGCAGGCAGGGCCUGGACCUGGGAGCCAUGCCGCUGUGCUGUUGCCACGGGAGCCGGGAGGCAGAUCUGAGCUAUGCAGGGAAAAGACCCAGCCUGUCAAAGUGUCUGAGAUGAACCGCCGCCGUCCCCGUGCAGCUGGGCUCAGACGUGUCUCGGCUCUUGUUCUGUGCCUGAGAAUGGCGAAGCCCAGUGAGGUUCAAGGGCAAACUCACUAUUCAUUAGUCAGGGGUUCUUGACGUCCCGUCUCUCCCAGGGAUGGGAUUUCCCCCCCCUUCCUCUUUCUCUCCCUUCUGUGACACAUUCCUGGGUUCCUUUGGUGAGGACUGCACCCUCCUCUGGCUACUGCCCAGCCCCUUCUCCAUGGCCCCUAAAUAAACUACCCCCAAGGAGACCAGGCAGGGCAGAGACAAUGGCCACAGGAAACCAUUCAGGCAGGACUCUAGCCAUGCUGGCCUGCCCUCUGCUCCCAGCACCCUUGUGAGCCCCACUUUCCUCUGACUCAGGGUACCCCGGGCCACCAGCAUGCACGAUCCUAGACAGGAGGAAGCCCCUGGUCACUGCCCUUGGGACAACAGACCCAUUCUCAGAGGCUCCUGAGUCGCCUCCAUAGCCUGGAUCUCACACAGCUGGAUAGUUUGGUGCCUUUCUCUACCAUCACCGGUCUGUUUUAAGACACUCUUAAACACUGUGGUUGGAGAAUGUAAAUUGUACAGUAUUUUCUGUAAGGUGGUGGGUAUUAGGAUGGAAAAGACAUAUACUUAGUCACAAGCAAAUUGCACGGCUAGGAAUUUAUUCUCUGGUCAUAUAUGUAAAAAUGUCCAAAGAAUUAUGUCCAAGGAUGUUUAUCAGAACAUUUUGUUUUUAAGAAUGUAAGAACAUGUAAAUGAACCCAUGGUCCAUUCAUACGGUGGAAUAUUAUGCAGCUGCAAAAAUCACUGUGGUAGAUCUCUCUAUAAGCUGAUAUGGAAGGUUGACCAAUAUAUAUUGUUGCACGAGGAGAAUAAAUUGCAGAACUGGCAAUAGAGUAUGAUCUUAUUUAUGUGUAUUUGGAAGUCAUUCCUAAGUAUGCUUAUAUAUGAAGAGUUUCUGGAAAUAAGUAUUGGAAGGCUGUCUCUGGGCAGUGGGAUGGAUGGAUGCCUUCUUCUGUACUGUUACAUGUUCUUUUCAUGCUCAUGGAAUACUUACUGAAAAAUUUAAAGACGCUAUUCAUUAUAAUAGGCUUAACUUCUAUUAACCAAAUUAGGGUAAGAGCUUCAAGAGGAUAGUGGUGAUGUUGCAGUUAAAAACAUCCCAGAAACUCUGCCAUUGGCCAUUUUCAGGCCUAAGAACCACAUAGCAUUAUCGUCGUGGUUACUAUGGUUAAUUAAAAGCCUACUAAGUGUCAGGCUUAGUAUCUCUGGGUCUUGCCUCAGUGGUUAUCAUUAUUCCAAUUUCACCAUGUGGAAGAGUAGUUGAUUCGUUUGUCUGAGCUCCUCAGCAGGGAGGGGGUGAGGGUGG